Molecule: long non-coding RNA, 256 nt
Organism: Clupea harengus (Atlantic herring)
Lineage: Eukaryota; Metazoa; Chordata; Actinopteri; Clupeiformes; Clupeidae
Source: RefSeq, a predicted model, not a curated record
GAAAAGAGUGGAGAGUUGAAGCCGUGUCCAUGCUAAAUGGCUUUCUGGAUGACGUAGACUCAGCGCUGAAGCUGAAAGAAGAAAAAGAGAAAACGAUGGUUGAAAUAAAGGCUGUUCUCAGCAACAUUCUUGAUGAUGUGGACACAAGUAUGAGAGAAAAAGAUGAGGCUGUGACAUCUGAGGUGGGGGCUGUACUUAAUGAUCUUUUGGACAACGUAGACUCUGCUCUUGGUAAGUUUAAGGCUAAAUAACAGAA